Long non-coding RNA from Lutra lutra (Eurasian river otter), 148 nucleotides. RefSeq lists it as uncharacterized. The record is from RefSeq and is a predicted model, not a curated record. The transcript is spliced from 3 exons. Lineage: Eukaryota; Metazoa; Chordata; Mammalia; Carnivora; Mustelidae.
CACUUUCCUUUACUGACUGGCUUUUAACAGCAAAGGCCAUGCAGUUGAGCCUGGCCACGCACAGGUGGCCAAUGAGAUUGUAACACACAGAGAAAGCUACACAGUCAUGCUAGGUGACGAAUUGAAUUACAAUUUACCCUAGUAGACA